Molecule: small nuclear RNA, 295 nt
Filed under: Castor canadensis (American beaver)
Lineage: Eukaryota; Metazoa; Chordata; Mammalia; Rodentia; Castoridae
Description: 7SK RNA (ENSCCNG00000028696.1)
Rfam family: 7SK RNA
About the family: 7SK was discovered as an abundant small nuclear RNA in the mid-70s but a possible function has only recently been suggested. Two independent studies have found that 7SK RNA binds the CDK9/cyclin T complex (known as elongation factor P-TEFb).
Source: RNAcentral
GAAUGUGAGGGUGAUCUAGCUGCAACCCAUUGAUGGCCAGGGUUGAUUUGGCUGAUCUAGCUGGCUAGGCAGGUGUUCCCUUCCUCCCUCACUGUUCCACAUGUGUCCCUCCUGAAAUUGCUGGCUCUAUGGAAGAGGAUUGACCAUCCCACAUAGAGGAGGACUGUUCUUCAGUCAAGGGUGUAUGAGUAGCUAUGCUCCCCUGCUAGAACCUCCAAACAGCUCUUUAUUAUAAUAUAAUAUAAAAUUCAUGAAUAAUAUUCAUGAAUUCAUGAAUAAUUUUGAUUGUGAACAU